AUCCCAUGGUGAGGACACUUACAAAGUAAUUCCUUGAAUCUUUCCCAUGCCUCAUAUAAAGACUCAUUAUCCAAUUGUCGAAAAAUGGUUAUUUCAUUUCACAAUUU
This is a small nucleolar RNA of Gossypium arboreum, 107 nucleotides long. It matches the Rfam family "Plant small nucleolar RNA R71". From Rfam's summary of the family: R71 is a member of the C/D box family of snoRNAs containing the C (UGAUGA) and D (CUGA) box motifs. Multiple nearly identical copies of this snoRNA have been identified in Arabidopsis, and it is thought to function as a 2'-O-ribose methylation guide for 18S ribosomal RNA. The record is from Rfam. Lineage: Eukaryota; Viridiplantae; Streptophyta; Magnoliopsida; Malvales; Malvaceae.